AUACCAAACCAGCUGUAGCUCUCCUAAGGUAUAAGAAAAUAAUAAUUAACCCAAUGACUAUUUGUUUUUAACAAAACUUACGAUGAAGAAGAGCAUUAUGGCAAACAAAAGCAGAAAGACUGCGCAGAAGAAUGUGGAGAAAAGCAUCAGUGGUCGGCGAUUGACUCGUUCCAGCAGCACGGGGCCCAGCAUGGAGGCGAACAAAUUGAGGGAACCCGCACCUAGGUUGGCCCACUCAGAAGCCUGACUGGAAAGACCCGCCUUUCGGAAAAUGGAGACGGAGUAGUAAAAUAUCUGCAGGGACAAACGAGAGGUGAAUCACUUUUUAGUCGCUCCGCAGGCUGCACCGUACGUACAGCAUUAAUGCCAGACAGCUGUUGGCCACCAAGAAAGGCGCAGACGAUGAUCAGCGGAAGUCGCAAUUGGGGGUCACGCAGGACCUGCAUCAAACUGCUGGUCUUCACCUCGCAAGCAGAUUCCUGCUCCAUCUCUUCCAUCUCGGCCUUCAGUGCGGCGCUGCCAGCCGUGUAACCCCUUAGUAGCUGAAGCUGGCGACGAGCAUCCUCCUUACGACCUUGGACGAUGAACAACCACUUGGGGCUCUCAGGAUACCACCUAAAAGGUGCAUAACACACAAGCACGAGAAGACCGUAGAAUGCGAGGCCGAAGUGCCAGUUCUCAGGACCUCCAAGCACCGAGCGCAGGCUGCAGACCUGCGCAAUCACCACCCCCAAGGUCAAGCCCAUUGGACAGAGGGGAGCCAAGGUGCUGCGCUGGGAGAGAGCCGAGAUUUCGCUGUGCCACAUGGACAUAAAGGAUGUUAGCAGACCGCCGGCCAGACCAACCAUCAUCCGACCCAGCAGAAGGAGCUCCACGGAACGCAACGGUCGACAUGCGUAAAAGCUAAUGGCUCCCAGACCCAGAAGGAGGCCACAGAUGAAGAAGCAGCCGCGACGUCCGAACCGAUUGGCCAUGGUGGCUCCAACAACUGAUCCAAUGGCGCCUCCAACGAGGAAUAUGGAGACUAUGGCAGACCACAGUAUUUCCAACCCCGCAUCACUUAAGUUCAGGUCAUAGCUGGCAAUCAGUGUCUCGUUGCACCAGGAGCGCAUGAGCUGGCCAAAUGGGAGAUGAACUUGUGCGGUGCUGACAAAUUUAAAGAGUACUCACUUCAGCGGGACUAUUCAUCACUCCUGUGCAAUAGCCCACGGGAACCGCCGCACCAAGCGACGAUCCGAUUGCCGCCCAAUUGAGGGACCAGCUCCACUGGGGCCGCUCCUCCUGGAAACGGGGACUGUUGGGACAUUUCCCACGAUAUUGGGGUUCCUUUGCCUUACCUGCUUGCCAUUUUCGUGUGCCAUUAGCGGCGCCUCUGAGAACGUUAAUGAUUGCUCCUGAAGCGAUUCGCCGACUUUUGGCUUUGCCAUUGCGUAUUUCGUGGGUGGUGGUGUUUCUUAUGGCGCUUUUGUGAGCGGAAUGCUGGUGAAUGGAGUAUUGCGGAUCGUAUAUCAUUCGCCGCGACGGAGACGGCAUUUUUCCACUGAGAAGUCGGUUAUCAAGCGCAGAGAUAACCGAUGGCAUAGUCGCACAAAUGCGCUAAGGGCAGGGCAUACCGUGCUUAUAAUUAAAGCGUUGGGAUGCCUUCGGCGUCUUAUGGCUUCAUCUUUGAGAUAUACAAGGUGCUUUAUUUGAAUUCGCUAAUCAUUAUCACG
This is a non-coding RNA of Drosophila melanogaster (fruit fly), 1712 nucleotides long. The record is from Ensembl. Lineage: Eukaryota; Metazoa; Arthropoda; Insecta; Diptera; Drosophilidae.